CCGCAGGAUUUCUGCAUCUUGUUGCUUCCUGAAAAAUGCCGCCCUCCAUCCAACCAAUUCCUCAGCGACUAUAAGAGCUGUAGAGCACAUUCGAUGUGUUUCUCUUCUCUCAAACUCCUCCCUACCGCCAGCAAGAGUUGUCUCCUUUUCUUUCUUUCACUCGCUGUUCACAACUGCACCAGCAACCCCCUGCUUGUUUGUGGAAUGGCAUUAGCUCAACAUGCAUGAUCGUACGUGUACCUAGGCAUAUAUGCUGUGGGUCGUUACGGUGGCCGGCCGGCCGGCGGCGGCUUCGCCGGCUUCUUCCCUCACACAUCACGAUCGAGAAGCUGUAGCUUCGGGGAUCGGGAGGUGCUUCGAGGCGUUGACAUUGAGGCCUUCCCGAUGCAUCCUUCGCCGAUAUAAUGCAAACCAGGAAGGCCUGCAGGCGUUGACUUUGAUUCUUCUCAGCUCGAUUAGCAUACAACGCAGGUAAAGCUAAAGAUAUUGAUCAUGAAGUAGCCAAAGAACGCGUACACACAAUGCUGCAGGACAGCUUUGUGCAAGCAGUUCAGUGAAUUAAACAAACAACGACUGGAACAAAAGGAGGUAUACGUACAUCAAAACGCUGGUGGGUAAUAACUUUUUGUACAAGGAAUUAAUCAGUUUCCCUUUUUUUCUAUGGUAAGUAACCUAGAGCAGUAGCAAGUAGAGUCUCUCGAACUGCUAAAGAACUCGCCAGUGUGUUUGACGCCUGCAAAAAAACGAACGCAUCUACUUCCAUGGGGAACAGAGAAUUGCUUGCCUUGGUGUACAAUUUGUUGCAACAUUGGUUGUGCGGAAAAAACCCGACAGAACCAGAUUGUGAUAAAUGGGAAUCGGAGCGGCUCAAAGAAGAAGAAGGGGAUGCUUUGAGAUUGGUGACGACCUUGGUUUUCUGUUGUCGACCUUGGUUUUCUGUAAUGUUCAGUCUAAAUAUGUUGUACUGCUUUAUUUUCUACUGAGCCUCUA
Brachypodium distachyon (stiff brome) is the source of this 990-nucleotide long non-coding RNA. RefSeq lists it as uncharacterized. The transcript is spliced from 3 exons. NCBI's taxonomy places the organism in Eukaryota, Viridiplantae, Streptophyta, Magnoliopsida, Poales, Poaceae. The record is from RefSeq and is a predicted model, not a curated record.